CAAUGAUUUGCAAAUUUCAAAAACCCAUAUUCACAGUAGAACAUAGAACACAUCAAAUGUUUAAAAUGAGUAAAUGUACCAUUUUAAGAAAAAAAUAAGGUAAUUUUGUGUUUGGAAAAGUAAGCGUUACUAAAAAGAAACAGCUGGAGGUUAAUUGGCAAAAGGUCAGUAACAUGAUUGGGUAUAAAAAGAGUAUCUUAGAUGGGCAGAGUCUUUCAGAAGUAAAGAUGGGCAGAGGAUCACCAAUCUGCAAAAAACUGUGUCUACAAUUUGUGGAACAAUUUCAGAAUAAUGUUCCUCAAUGUAAAAUUGUGAAGACUGAAAAUCUCAUCAUCUUCAGUACAUAAUAUCAUCAAUAGAUUCUGAGAAUCUGGAGAAAUCGCUGUGCACAAGGGACAAGGGUGAAAAUCAAUAUUGCAUGCCCGUGAUUUUCGGGCUCUCAGGCAACAUUAAAAACAGGCAUGAUUCUGUAAUGGAAAUCACUGCAUGGGCUCAGAAACACUUCCAGAACUCAUUGUCUGUGAAAACAGUUUGCUGUGCUAUCCACAAAUGCUAGUUAAAGCUCUAUCAUGCAAAGAAGAAGUCACAUGUGAACAUGAUCCAGAAAUGCAACCGUCUUCUCUGGGCCAAAACUCAUUUAAAAUGGACCGAGGCAAAGUGGACAACUGUUCUGUGUUCAGACUAAUCGAAAUAUGAAUUUCUUUUUGUAAACCACGGACGUGGCGUCCUCUAAACUAAAGAGGAUUAAAGAGGAGAGGGACCAUCAGGCUUUUUAUCAGUGCUCAGUUUAGAAGCCUGCAUCUCUGAUGGUAUGGGGUGCAUUUGUGCCUAUGGAAUGGGCAGCUUGCACAUAUGGAUAGGCAACAUCAAUGCUGAAAGGUAUAUACAGGUUUUAGAGCAACAUAUGCUUCCAUACCAGAUUCCAUCCCAUCUUUACUUCUGAGAGCCUCUGCCUCUUGAAGAUAUUCUUUUAUACCCAAUCAUGUUACUCACCUGUUGCAAAUUAACCUAAUUAGUUGUAAAAUGUUCCUCCAGCUCUUUCUUUUUAGUAACACUUACUUUUCCAGCCUUUUGUUGCCCCGUCCCAACUUUUUUGAGACGUGUUGCAGCUAUCAAAUUCAAAAUUACUUUAUUGUUUCCUUAAAAUGGUACAUUUCCUAACUUUAAACAUUUGAUAUGUUUUCCGUGUUCUAUUCUGUUCUAUAAUAUGUGAAUAGCAUAUGGGUUUAUGAGAUUUGCAAAUCAUUGCAUUCUGUUUUUAUUUACAUUUUACAAAGCAUCCCAACUUUUUUGGAAUUGGGGUUGUAUAGAUAGCCCUCGAUAGUUGUCAAGUAAGAUGUUCUCAUCUUCAUUGGAGCCUGCAUGAUGGUAUCGCCCAUCUUUCAUUAGUAAAACUGGGAGGGCUUUAUUUCCAGUUCACAUGAGAAUGACAAAAGACUAGAAUAUUAUUGAGGAAAAAAGAGCUUCUCCCACAGGGACAUGGGAAAGGAAGCAGGGACAUGGGAAAAGUCCAGCUGCUCAGGGUUUGUAAUUGCGAAAGACAGUUUCAUUCCCAUUGAUAACACAACAGACUGCCAGAGGGCUUCACUAAGGUCUUUAACAACAGCAAGUACCCCCUUGGUAUUACCAUACAUACUGAGGAAAUCUUCCUUUUAAGUUUUUCACAGGUGAAUUGAAGUAAUUAUACAUCCAAAGCCAAGCCUAGCCUAAAAGUGUGGAGACAAAGCGCACAUCAUGACCUCGUUGAUUUCCACCACUUUAAUCAUGUGCUUAGCAGUCGCAGCGCUUGAUGGAUCAGAUGCUUUGCUCUGCGACAGGGCCACAUUUGAUUAUGGAGUGCACAAUUACUGUCUACUUGACUACAAGCAACACAUGGCAGCCAGCAACUACCAGGAAGAAUGUCCAUGGCCCAACACUCAACACUACUACUAUUAUUUGGACAACUGUUUCCAACAUAUGGUAGACAUCACAGCAUGCAGUGAGCCUUCUCUGAAGAACAAGAUCUUUUUGGAUCUCCACCGCACAUAUUUUUUUCACUGCCACUUCCUGAAGGACCCUGAUGUGCCUGUGCUGCUGUUGUUUAUGCUGCCCUGCAUCAUCGUUACUUUUGUCUUCUCCUUUCUCUGUAGCUACAUCACCCCCAAGGAAUAAUGCAUCCAUGAUUAACUCACAUUGCUACAAAGACUCUUGUUAGAUUAGGAUUACUAUGAAACAUUCUGAUACAUUUAUGUGACUGACUGACACUCCAAGAUUUGAACACCUACUUAUUAUUAUCUUGUUUUUAGCAGACAAACUGGAAUUAAAUGUAUUUGUAAGAAAAAUGUAUUAGUGUCACUGUUUUAAUCUCAGGUAAAUGUCAGUUCCCAAAUGUAAACUCUUUAUAAGUCAUUUCUGACCAUUAACUUGUUCAUUUUAACUCGCUGAGUUUUGUUGACAAUCAAUUUCUCAUAGUCUCAUAUUGGUCGGUACAAAGGCAUAACCAAGUUGAUUUGUUCACAAGAUGGAUGACUUUUAGGAGUGCCAAUCUUAUUCAUUAGCACACUGCAGUUUUGAAAAUUGUCAUUAAAUUGUAAUAGUACCACCUGUAAUGGGACAUUCGUACAAAGGACCAGUACCAAACCACAGAGAGUAUGUUUGCUUUGCACAACCCUCCACAUUAAGUAUUUUGAGGACUUAAUAGGUUAAUUUUUUUGUUACUCCUAUAAUAGAAAGAGCAAUUUUACAACACAAUAGGCUUAAAACAAUGUAUGUUGAAACACAUCAUAAAUAUUUAUUUUGAGACAAAAAAAUAACAAUUUGUUUAACAGUGGUUUGAAAACAUUUUUUUUUUUUUUUACAGUAAUAGUAGUUUCUACUGCUAUUAAAAUAUCCACAUAACAUCAUUAUUUCUUUCAGUAUUGCUAAAGCUAAAGUAAUACAUUACUUAUCAUAAGAACUUGUUUGCCUUUUUUUUUGACAAACUAUACCUCUUACCAUAGUUACAACAAGGCAACACUGAGUUAUAAAAGUGGUCUGUUUGGGACUGACAACAUUUAGACAUGAUUUAAGGAUAACAUGACACAUGGGUGCUGAAUGUAUGGAAAGUAAACAUUUAUACAUUAUAUGCUCUACAGUUGAAAACAAUGGAAACUAGCAGGUGAUAUUUAUAGGUUCGACAAUUUUACAGUUAAGUCAAUUUGCCAACAACCAGAAUAUUACAUUGGUGUGCGGUCAUUGUACUUUCAUAGGAAAAGCAUUAAUUGUCUUUGCUGAGAGCAGUCUAUUAUAUUGACCAGAUCUCAAUGAUCUGAUCAUUAAUUCAGUAACAUCUGAUUGAGUAAACCAAGCUGAAUGGAGCAUUUGAAUGUCUGGUGUCUAUAAGGGUUGCAAUAAAUAAAUAUUAUAAUAAAUAUUGUCUUAUUGAUACUUUUUAUUUUAUCACAUCAUCUCAUUUUCUUAAACUUAUUUUUACUAAGUUAGUACUGCUUCCAAACUUUAGCCAGUAGUGUAUGUCUCAGUACAAUCAUUUAAAUGUUUUUUUUUACUCCCCCCCACCCACCCUUUUUUAAAAAAAAUUUGUGCGGUAAACAUGCUAUAAAUAAGUGGCAUCUGUUUAAGGUCUAUGGUACAGAAAGAAAGAAAAAAAAUGUUUAUCAUGUGUAGGGAUGCAUCAAUGCCGAUAAUGGUAUCUGAUAUUGGUUGCUUAUUUACUUAUACUUGUAUAAAAUAAAAACGUCUCUUACGUGAUGUUAUGUAUAUUACGUAUGUUAUGUAAGUGUACUGUAUGUUGUCAUGCUAAUGAACAGCUGACACAAUCUGGAUGUUUUUCAUGAUUAAUGAUGGCAAUCAAAGCAGUGCAGAUUACAAACUGUACUCUGCAAAAAAUCAAGAGAAGGACCUACAGCAUCUUCCUACUACACAAGUAAUCUGAUAAAACAUUUUAUGGCAUUUAAAUAGUAUCUUUAAUAGAGAGCACCAGAGGGGCUGACCUGAACACGCACAGCAGUAUCAGAAAGUGUGGUCAUUACCACUGACCUCCAGAUGCUGUGAAUUGUCACAUAUGAGAUUUCAGUUCUGCGAGCACUGAGACACACACACAGUUCCUUGUGUCAGCGCCUAUAACUACACUUGAAACUUGUGAGUCACGCUAUUGCUCUGUGCACUCAGGUCAACUGUCUUCUAGCUCUCUAUUAAAGAAACUGCUUAAAUAACAUAACCGCUUCAGGAUUAACCUCAGCUGUAUUCAAAGCCAGUUCAAUGCUGGCAGCACAUGAUGCUUCUGAUUGAUUUUUUAAUAAGUUACUCAUUUUUGAAAAAAUUCCUUCAUGUUUGACAGUAAAAAUGUGCUUUAAAAUAUGGUAUGUAAAAACAUUUCUUCUUAUAGGGCACAGAAUAACACAACAAGCUUUGCUUUGAGAAAAAACCUUGCGAACAAUUCUAGCAAAUGAAAAUAUCUUGAAUAUAGUCAGAUUUAUUUAGUAUUUCCUAUUACAAAAUUACCAUAAUGCAAAUAUAAGAUUAUCAAACCUACGUCUAGACAUUUUUAUUAAUUUUAUUAAGGUUUUUUGUUAUUUUAUUGGAAAAUAAUUUGACAUCUUUCUAGAAAUAAAUGCUUUCAAUUUAAAAAAAAUGUCUGCCAGUGGAACAAAACAAGAUUAUUUCAAGCUUGAAAUGAAUGAAAUAUUUUUAUUUGUUGUAAUCCUAUAGGAAAUGUUACUAUAUUCAUGAGAUUUCCAGAUAUUUUCACAUCACUGCACAUAGGAUGUCAUUUAUUUGCAGUGCUAUGAGACAAUAUAUCCCCUUUGUCAGUUAGUUCUAGCUGAGGUUAAACCUGAUACAAACCUGGGUUACUUUCCAGAAAUGCAGCAGAUAUAUAAACUGCAAAUCACCUGGUGAUAAUUUGACCGAGUAACAAUGUUUUUGUGCACUUCCUUCCACUAAACCAUUUUAAUUAUUAAUUAGAAGUGAUAAAAUACAUCAGUAAACUGUUCAGUGUAGACAUGAGUUGUGACCUGUUUGAGGUAAAUGUAAACAAAAACUUUUUCACAGGCUCUCUUUAAAUACUAUUGAUGUUGUUAGGAUGCAGCCCUAGAGGCAAUUUUGACACUGUAGCCUAUAUUUUAAAACAGUAGUUCUCUGGAGGUUUUACCUCAGGG
Molecule: long non-coding RNA, 5135 nt
Organism: Ictalurus punctatus (channel catfish)
Lineage: Eukaryota; Metazoa; Chordata; Actinopteri; Siluriformes; Ictaluridae
Source: Ensembl